GUGAAUCAUCGAAUCUUUGAACGCAAAUUGCACUCUCUGGUAUUCCGGAGAGCAUGCCUGUUUGAGGGUCAGUUUAAACAAAAAUCGGUGUGGUUGCUGCCUUGCGUGGUGAAGCCUCGGCUUUGGGUCGUCUUGCCUUCGGGUAUGUGAGCUACAAUUUCGCAUGAUUUUUUUCGCACGUAUUUAAAUGAUUUUACGUACUUUUGCGAUAUGGAAUACUAGGAGUGGUU
RNAcentral lists this unclassified non-coding RNA (230 nucleotides) under Glomus sp. RNAcentral's name for it is "partial contains 5.8S ribosomal RNA and internal transcribed spacer 2". The stretch from base 1 to 71 matches the Rfam family "5.8S ribosomal RNA", at positions 84 to 154 of the family's 154-position model. Lineage: Eukaryota; Fungi; Glomeromycota; Glomeromycetes; Glomerales; Glomeraceae. The record is from RNAcentral.